This 465-nucleotide ribosomal RNA is filed under the name uncultured bacterium. Its description in RNAcentral is "partial 16S ribosomal RNA". It matches the Rfam family "Bacterial small subunit ribosomal RNA", at positions 338 to 795 of the family's 1533-position model. The record is from RNAcentral.
CCUACGGGUGGCAGCAGUGGGGAAUAUUGCGCAAUGGGCGAAAGCCUGACGCAGCGACGCCGCGUGAGGGAUGAAGGUCUUCGGAUCGUAAACCUCUGUCAGCAGGGAAGAACGGUCACUGUGCUAAUCAUCAGUGAAUUGACGGUACCUGCAAAGGAAGCACCGGCUAACUCCGUGCCAGCAGCCGCGGUAAUACGGAGGGUGCGAGCGUUAAUCGGAAUUACUGGGCGUAAAGCGCGCGUAGGCGGUAUGUCAAGUCAAGGGUGAAAUCCCCGCGCUCAACGUGGGAACUGCUUUUGAUACUGGCAGACUGGAGUGUGGGAGAGGAUAGUGGAAUUCGAGGUGUAGGAGUGAAAUCCGUAGAUAUCUGGAGGAACAUCAGUGGCGAAGGCGACUAUCUGGCACAUAACUGACGCUGAGGAGCGAAAGCGUGGGUAGCAAACAGGAUUAGAUACCCGAGUAGUC